GUACUGCAGAAGAGUCCCAAACUAGGAUGAAACAGCUGUCCAGUAC
Molecule: non-coding RNA, 46 nt
Filed under: Trichobilharzia regenti
Lineage: Eukaryota; Metazoa; Platyhelminthes; Trematoda; Strigeidida; Schistosomatidae
Source: RNAcentral